GGAGAGUAUAGCUUAGUGGUAGAGCAUGUGCUUAUCAUGCACAAGGUCCUGGGUUCAAUCCCCAGUACCUCCA
This 73-nucleotide transfer RNA is filed under the name Vicugna pacos (alpaca). Its description in RNAcentral is "tRNA-Asp (ATC) (tRNA-Asp-ATC-4-1)". It matches the Rfam family "tRNA". From Rfam's summary of the family: Transfer RNA (tRNA) molecules are approximately 80 nucleotides in length. Their secondary structure includes four short double-helical elements and three loops (D, anti-codon, and T loops). Lineage: Eukaryota; Metazoa; Chordata; Mammalia; Artiodactyla; Camelidae. The record is from RNAcentral.